RNAcentral lists this ribosomal RNA (200 nucleotides) under uncultured bacterium. RNAcentral's name for it is "partial 16S ribosomal RNA". It matches the Rfam family "Bacterial small subunit ribosomal RNA", at positions 8 to 215 of the family's 1533-position model. The record is from RNAcentral.
AGAGUUUGAUCCUGGCUCAGAUUGAACGCUGGCGGCAGGCCUAACACAUGCAAGUCGAACGGUAACAGGAAGCAGCUUGCUGCUUCGCUGACGAGUGGCGGACGGGUGAGUAAUGUCUGGGAAACUGCCUGAUGGAGGGGGAUAACUACUGGAAACGGUAGCUAAUACCGCAUAACGUCGCAAGACCAAAGAGGGGGACC